RNAcentral lists this ribosomal RNA (469 nucleotides) under Abiotrophia defectiva. Its description in RNAcentral is "bacterial SSU rRNA". It matches the Rfam family "Bacterial small subunit ribosomal RNA", at positions 28 to 474 of the family's 1533-position model. The record is from RNAcentral. Lineage: Bacteria; Bacillati; Bacillota; Bacilli; Lactobacillales; Aerococcaceae.
GACGAACGCUGGCGGCGUGCCUAAUACAUGCAAGUCGAACGAACCGCGACUAGGUGCUUGCACUUGGUCAAGGUGAGUGGCGAACGGGUGAGUAACACGUGGGUAACCUACCUCAUAGUGGGGGAUAACAGUCGGAAACGACUGCUAAUACCGCAUAGGACAUGGGAUCACAUGAUUCUGUGAGGAAAGGUGGCGCAAGCUAUCGCUAAGAGAUGGACCCGCGGUGCAUUAGCUAGUUGGUAGGGUAACGGCCUACCAAGGCGAUGAUGCAUAGCCGACCUGAGAGGGUGAUCGGCCACAUUGGGACUGAGACACGGCCCAAACUCCUACGGGAGGCAGCAGUAGGGAAUCUUCCGCAAUGGACGCAAGUCUGACGGAGCAACGCCGCGUGAGUGAAGAAGGUCUUCGGAUCGUAAAGCUCUGUUGUUAGAGAAGAACAGCGCAUAGAGUAACUGUUAUGCGUGUGACG